AUUGAACGCUGGCGGCAUGCCUUACACAUGCAAGUCGAACGGUAACAGGUUAAGCUGACGAGUGGCGAACGGGUGAGUAAUGUAUCGGAACGUGCCCAGUCGUGGGGGAUAACUGCUCGAAAGAGCAGCUAAUACCGCAUACGACCUGAGGGUGAAAGCGGGGGAUCGCAAGACCUCGCGCGAUUGGAGCGGCCGAUAUCAGAUUAGGUAGUUGGUGAGGUAAAGGCUCACCAAGCCGACGAUCUGUAGCUGGUCUGAGAGGACGACCAGCCACACUGGGACUGAGACACGGCCCAGACUCCUACGGGAGGCAGCAGUGGAGAAUUUUGGACAAUGGGCGCAAGCCUGAUCCAGCCAUGCCGCGUGCGGGAAGAAGGCCUUCGGGUUGUAAACCGCUUUUGUCAGGGAAGAAAAGGUUCUGGCUAAUACCUGGGACUCAUGACGGUGCCUGAAGAAUAAGCACCGGCUAACUACGUGCCAGCCGCCGCGGUAA
RNAcentral lists this ribosomal RNA (493 nucleotides) under uncultured bacterium. RNAcentral describes it as "partial 16S ribosomal RNA". It matches the Rfam family "Bacterial small subunit ribosomal RNA", at positions 30 to 523 of the family's 1533-position model. The record is from RNAcentral.